This 254-nucleotide ribosomal RNA is filed under the name uncultured bacterium. Its description in RNAcentral is "partial 16S ribosomal RNA". It matches the Rfam family "Bacterial small subunit ribosomal RNA", at positions 524 to 776 of the family's 1533-position model. The record is from RNAcentral.
GACAGAGGGUGCAACCGUUGUUCGGAUUUACUGGGCGUAAAGGGCGCGUAGGCGGCCACCGCAAGUCGACUGUGAAAUCUCCGGGCUUAACCCGGAAAGGUCAGCCGAUACUGCGGGGCUAGAGUGCAGAAGGGGCAACUGGAAUUCUCGGUGUAGCGGUGAAAUGCGUAGAUAUCGAGAGGAACACCUGCGGCGAAGGCGGGUUGCUGGGCUGACACUGACGCUGAGGCGCGAAAGCUAGGGGAGCGAACGGG